CGCCCGCGCCCCUCUGGCCUCUGAUUGGCUACGGCUGGCUCUUAAAAGACGCGGCCAAUGGCUGCGAGCGCCAGAGGCCGGGGAGCAGGCGAGCAGCUGGGUGUCGGUCGGCUUCUCCGGCCGGGGUGGGAAUGGCUACCGGGCCCGGACAGCAAGCAGCGGCCAAGUGCCCGGGUGGGUCGCGGCGGGCGGCUGCGGGGCUCGCCCUUUGUCUGCGCCGUUCCAAAAUGGCUGCGGCCAGGGCGGGCGGGCGGGCGGCGGCAGCGGCGCGGUGCUCCCGAGGCCCGGGCGACCGGUCAGCGAGGAGCAGGAGUCCUGGCACGAAGGCGCUUUCGGGGCGGCUAGAGGUGUGCGGAGGACGCCGCGGGCGCGAGGGUCUGCUCCUCUGACUUAUGGCCGUGGGUACGAGGACGGCCGAGAAACAAAUUCCAGACGGCAAAGCUCCUUGUUGGAACCUCGCUGUAACCUCUCAGGGUCAUCGCCACUUCUGAGGAGACCUGCCACAGUCAGCGCAGAUCCAGCACUGUGGAUGAAGGGUUUGACGUGGCAAAUGAUUUUUUUUUUUUCUUUCCUGCCUUAAAAGAGACUCUUUCACCAGUACACACCUGUAAUCCCAGCUCUUGGAAGAUGAAGGACAAGGAAUUCAACCUGUGUUAUAUGUUUAUUUGAAGGCCAGCCUGGGGCCUCAUGAGGCCCUAUUUCUGAAAGGUGGGGUGAGGACUCUUCUCUGAAAAGCAGAAUAUGGCUGAGCCCAUGUGCUGAUCCUGUCCUAAUCUCAAACUAAAUGGCUUAUUAAUAACUAUAGUACAAACCCCUCCCCUCCUCGCCCCACCUCACCUCUUCUCUAAGCAUCAAUGUACCUAAGGAACUGUGCACACUGAAGCCCAAGAACGGGGCACCCACAUGCAAAAAGUGUGUUGGGGAAGCCUAACAGAAAUUCUGUUCUAAACAUUGGCCCCCAGGUUGGGAAAGCCCGUAAAAAGAGGCCAACAAUAAGGAAACAGGUUAAGUGCUACAAGCCAGUGUGGGCUUGUGUGCCCUCUCCAAGGAGUACCUGAGCUUGGCUUUGGCUUGGCACCAGAGCAGAAGUUUAAAGUUGUAAAUGAGACCUAAGAGUCUUCUUGUGGCACAGGAGAGCAUACUCAGGGCCAAUAGCAUGCUCGGUGGGUGCAGUACUACUGAGCGACAUGCUCUCAGCCCCAAAUCGGAAUUUUUAAAUGUUGAUGACUGGUUGGAAGAUUUUAAAGUACAUCAAACCAUCAGCAGGCUCUUUCUAGUCCCGCUGGUGUGUUGGUUAAUAGGAACCGCCAGCUAGGUGAACAGCAAUCUGUACCCCAAAACCCUUAGAUGAGAAGGGAGCAAAACAAUGGAUGCCUAUAAAAAAAAGUCUGGAGCUCCCACCAAGGGCCUGUGUGACUGGCACUUCCAUCGCCACAACCCCUACACUGCAUGUCCAUUACUGCCACAGUUCUAAGCUCUUUCUUGAGGGUAAGCACGGUGAUCUCCAUAGAGCAGUGGCUUCUGCCCCUCUGAGGCCCACCAGGACUUCUCUGUGUGGUCCCAAAUCUCUUCAAGAUGGACUCAGCCUCCUACUGUGCCUAAGCAUCUGCUGGUAGCACAGCCCCUGGGCUGCACCUAAGUUGCAGAUAUAGGGUUAAGGUGCCCACAACACCUUAAUUCUUUGCUGAAGGGUCCAAUGCUAGAGCCACAGCUCAGGCGGCUGUUUUCCAGAGCACUGCCCCUAAGACUGAAGUGAAUGGAGGUAAAAAUCAUGUGUCUGCUCCCCGCCUCCAAAUAUAUAUGCAAGGGGCAGAAGACACUGUCAGCCUCUUAACCCUUGUCACUCUGGAGACUAAAGGACAACUGUUCUUUCAGUGUCUCCAUUGACACAUUGCCAGAGGCCAUUACAACUUGUGUAGCCUUAAAAGAGAAAUGGAAGAUUCAUUAAGACAAAUAAAAUGAUAAAACACA
This is a long non-coding RNA of Peromyscus eremicus (cactus mouse), 1971 nucleotides long. RefSeq lists it as uncharacterized. NCBI's taxonomy places the organism in Eukaryota, Metazoa, Chordata, Mammalia, Rodentia, Cricetidae. The transcript has 2 exons. The record is from RefSeq and is a predicted model, not a curated record.